GAAAGAUGGCUUUGGCUAUCACUCUGGGAUGGACCUGCGGUGCAUUAGCUAGUUGGUAAGGUAACGGCUUACCAAGGCGAUGAUGCAUAGCCGAGUUGAGAGACUGAUCGGCCACAAUGGAACUGAGACACGGUCCAUACUCCUACGGGAGGCAGCAGUAGGGAAUCCUCCACAAUGGGCGCAAGCCUGAUGGAGCAACACCGCGUGAGUGAAGAAGGGUUUCGGCUCGUAAAGCUCUGUUGUUGGAGAAGAACGUGCGUGAGAGUAACUGUUCACGCAGUGACGGUAUCCAACCAGAAAGUCACGGCUAACUACGUGCCAGCAGCCGCGGUAAUACGUAGGUGGCAAGCGUUAUCCGGAUUUAUUGGGCGUAAAGCGAGCGCAGGCGGUUGCUUAGGUCUGAUGUGAAAGCCUUCGGCUUAACCGAAGAAGUGCAUCGGAAACCGGGCGACUUGAGUGCAGAAGAGGACAGUGGAACUCCAUGUGUAGCGGUGGAAUGCGUAGAUAUAUGGAAGAACACCAGUGGCGAAGGCGGCUGUCUGGUCUGCAACUGACGCUGAGGCUCGAAAGCAUGGGUAGCGAACAGGAUUAGAUACCCUGGUAGUCCAUGCCGUAAACGAUGAGUGCUAGGUGUUGGAGGGUUUCCGCCCUUCA
Molecule: ribosomal RNA, 654 nt
Filed under: uncultured bacterium
Lineage: Bacteria
Description: bacterial SSU rRNA
Rfam family: Bacterial small subunit ribosomal RNA
Source: RNAcentral